This 440-nucleotide ribosomal RNA is filed under the name uncultured bacterium. Its description in RNAcentral is "partial 16S ribosomal RNA". It matches the Rfam family "Bacterial small subunit ribosomal RNA", at positions 338 to 795 of the family's 1533-position model. The record is from RNAcentral.
CCUACGGGAUGCAGCAGUGGGGAAUAUUGCACAAUGGGGGAAACCCUGAUGCAGCGACGCCGCGUGAAGGAAGAAGUAUUUCGGUAUGUAAACUUCUAUCAGCAGGGAAGAAAAUGACGGUACCUGCCUACGCCGCCCCGGCUAACUCCGUGCCAGCAGCCGCGGUAAUACGGAGGGGGCAAGCGUUAUCCGGAUUUACUGGGUGUAAAGGGAGCGUAGGCGGCGAUGCAAGUCAGAAGUGAAAGCCCGGGGCUCAACUCCGGGACUGCUUUUGAAACUGUGUUGCUAGAUUGCAGGAGAGGUAAGUGGAAUUCCUAGUGUAGCGGUGAAAUGCGUAGAUAUUAGGAGGAACACCAGUGGCGAAGGCGGCUUACUGGACUGUAAAUGACGCUGAGGCUCGAAAGCGUGGGGAGCAAACAGGAUUAGAUACCCUUGUAGUC